This 517-nucleotide ribosomal RNA is filed under the name uncultured bacterium. RNAcentral's name for it is "bacterial SSU rRNA". It matches the Rfam family "Bacterial small subunit ribosomal RNA", at positions 26 to 518 of the family's 1533-position model. The record is from RNAcentral.
AGGACGAACGCUGGCGGCGUGCCUAAUACAUGCAAGUCGAACGGUCUUUCUAUGGAAGCUUGCUCCACUGAGAAGAUAGUGGCGAACGGGUGAGUAACACGUGGGUAACCUGCCCAUAAGAGGGGGAUAACAUCCGGAAACGGGUGCUAAUACCGCAUAGUUUCUUGAUCGCAUGAUCGGGAAAGGAAAGACGGCCUUUGUGCUGUCGCUUAUGGAUGGACCCGCGGCGUAUUAGUUAGUUGGUGAGGUAACGGCUCACCAAGACGAUGAUACGUAGCCGACCUGAGAGGGUGAUCGGCCACAUUGGGACUGAGACACGGCCCAAACUCCUACGGGAGGCAGCAGUAGGGAAUCUUCCGCAAUGGACGAAAGUCUGACGGAGCAACGCCGCGUGAGUGAAAGAAGGUUUUCGGAUCGUAAAACUCUGUUGUCAGAGAAGAACAAGUUGGAGAGUAACUGCUCCAGCCUUGACGGUAUCUGACCAGAAAGCCACGGCUAACUACGUGCCAGCCGCCGC